This 253-nucleotide ribosomal RNA is filed under the name uncultured bacterium. RNAcentral describes it as "partial 16S ribosomal RNA". It matches the Rfam family "Bacterial small subunit ribosomal RNA", at positions 524 to 776 of the family's 1533-position model. The record is from RNAcentral.
UACGGAGGGUGCAAGCGUUGUUCGGAUUUACUGGGCGUAAAGCGCGCGCAGGUGGGUGAACAAGUCGGAAGUGAAAUCUCGAGGCUCAACCUCGAGGCUGCUCCCGAAACUGUUCGCCUAGGGACUGGUAGAGGCUGGUAGAAUUCCCGGUGUAGCGGUGGAAUGCGUAGAGAUCGGGAAGAAUACCUGUGGCGAAGGCGGCCAGCUGGGCCAGAUCCGACGCUGAGACGCGAAAGCGUGGGGAGCAAACAGG